CCCUCUCUCUCUCUGAAAUCUCUCUCCGUACAGAUCUGCUCUCCGGUCAGAUCUCUUGGCGGUAGGCGUCCUCCGUCGUCCGGCGUCCCCACUCCGGUAGAUUUGGCGGCCGGAUCUGUCUCCGGCGACGCCCAUAAAAAAGGAUCUCUCUCUCUUUGGCCGGAUCUGUUGCUACAAAUAAAAGGGGUGAACUUCCUCUCUUGCCGGCCACCAAGACCCACCGACCGCCACCCAUCGGAGCAACCCCCUCCCUCUCUCUCGCCGUGUUCCUGUUUACCAUUUAAUUUCCAAGGAUCAUCAACUCUGUUCUGUUGCUAGGAGCGCUAUUAUGUAGAGAGGAAUUUGUUGGGGUAUUGUACGACCAAGGCUCGAAAAAAUGUCGGUAAAUAGUGAUGCGUCAAGACCCCCUCCGUUAUGUUACUGUGGAGUGCGUGCACGUCUAAGGUACUCAUGGACUAGUGACAACCCCGGACGAAAGUGGUAUGGCUGUAUAAAGUAUAAGGAAGCUGGGGAUUGUGAUUUUUUUAAGUGGACUGAUAACGACAUGACUUCUUAUGAGAAGAGAUUGGAGGAACAUAUGAGAGACAUGGAGGAAGGGAGACGGGCCGAUAUUGAGAAAGUUGAGAAGAUGACAAUGGCCAAUAUUGACAGACUUGAGAAGCUGAUUGAAACAAAACACAAUGAACAAUAUGCUAGACUUCGGUUGGAGUUGGGUCUGCGUCAAAAUAAUAGAAAGAUGUUUUGGGUAGCAGUAGUCGUAGUCAUUUUGGGCCUUGUAAUUUAUCUCAGUGGUUAUAGUGGUUCUAAAGUUAGCUACUUGAUGUUAGAAUGAAAAGAUGGAAACA
Alnus glutinosa is the source of this 845-nucleotide long non-coding RNA. RefSeq lists it as uncharacterized. The record is from RefSeq and is a predicted model, not a curated record. The transcript has 4 exons. Lineage: Eukaryota; Viridiplantae; Streptophyta; Magnoliopsida; Fagales; Betulaceae.